Molecule: ribosomal RNA, 485 nt
Filed under: uncultured bacterium
Lineage: Bacteria
Description: bacterial SSU rRNA
Rfam family: Bacterial small subunit ribosomal RNA
Source: RNAcentral
GAUGAACGCUAGCGAUAGGCCUAACACAUGCAAGUCGAGGGGCAGCAUAAGGAAGUAGCAAUACUUUCUGGUGGCGACCGGCGCACGGGUGAGUAACACGUAUGCAACCUGCCUUCAACAAGGGGAUAACCCGUUGAAAGACGGACUAAUACCCUAUAACACAGGGGUCCCGCAUGGGAAUAUUUGUUAAAGGACAACCGGUUGAAGAUGGGCAUGCGUUCCAUUAGCUAGUUGGCGGGGUAACGCCCACCAAGGCAACGAUGGAUAGGGGAACUGAGAGGUUUAUCCCCCACACUGGUACUGAGACACGGACCAGACUCCUACGGGAGGCAGCAGUGAGGAAUAUUGGUCAAUGGACGCAAGUCUGAACCAGCCACGUCGCGUGAAGGAAGACGGCCCUACGGGUUGUAAACUUCUUUUGCAAGGGAAUAAAGUGGGCCACGUGUGGCCUUUUGCAAGUACCUUGCGAAUAAGGAUCGGCUAAC